GCGCGAAAACUUUACAAUGCUGGCAACAGCGAUAAGGGAACCUCGAGUGCCAGGUUACAAAUCUGGCUGUCGAGAUGCCUAAAAAGCAUUUCAUAGCAAGGGCCGGGCAAGGCCGGUGCCAGCCGCCGCGGUAACACCGGCGGCUCGAGUGGUAACCGUUAUUAUUGGUCUAAAGGGUCUGUAGCCGGCCGGAUAAGUCUCUUGGGAAAUCUGGCAGCUCAACUGUCAGGCUUUCAGGAGAUACUGUCUGGCUCGAGGCCGGGAGAGGUGAGAGGUACUUCAGGGGUAGGGGCGAAAUCUUGUAAUCCUUGAAGGACCACCAGUGGCGAAGGCGUCUCACCAGAACGGACCUGACGGCAAGGGACGAAAGCUAGGGGCACGAACC
RNAcentral lists this ribosomal RNA (385 nucleotides) under uncultured Methanosaeta sp. RNAcentral describes it as "bacterial SSU rRNA". It matches the Rfam family "Archaeal small subunit ribosomal RNA", at positions 339 to 725 of the family's 1478-position model. Lineage: Archaea; Methanobacteriati; Methanobacteriota; Methanomicrobia; Methanotrichales; Methanotrichaceae. The record is from RNAcentral.